RNAcentral lists this ribosomal RNA (223 nucleotides) under uncultured bacterium. Its description in RNAcentral is "partial 16S ribosomal RNA". It matches the Rfam family "Bacterial small subunit ribosomal RNA", at positions 111 to 334 of the family's 1533-position model. The record is from RNAcentral.
UAACGCGUGGGUAACCUGCCCUGUACAGGGGGAUAACAGUCAGAAAUGACUGCUAAUACCGCAUAAGACCACAGCACCGCAUGGUGCAGGGGUAAAAGCUCCGGUGGUACAGGAUGGACCCGCGUCUGAUUAGCUGGUUGGUGAGGUAACGGCUCACCAAGGCGACGAUCAGUAGCCGGCUUGAGAGAGUGAACGGCCACAUUGGGACUGAGACACGGCCCAA